This 234-nucleotide ribosomal RNA is filed under the name uncultured bacterium. RNAcentral's name for it is "partial 16S ribosomal RNA". It matches the Rfam family "Bacterial small subunit ribosomal RNA", at positions 333 to 583 of the family's 1533-position model. The record is from RNAcentral.
UGUUUCCUACGGGGCGCAGCAGUGGGGAAUAUUGCACAAUGGGGGAAACCCUGAUGCAGCGACGCCGCGUGAGCGAUGAAGUAUCUCGGUAUGUAAAGCUCUUUCAGCAGGGAAGAUCCAAGGCGGUACCUGCAGAAGAAGCCCCGGCUAACUACGUGCCAGCAGCCGCGGUAAUACGUAGGGGGCAAGCGUUAUCCGGAUUCAUUGGGCGUAAAGCGCGCGCAGGCGGGGUGC